AUUGAACGCUGGCGGCAUGCUUUACACAUGCAAGUCGAACGGCAGCACGGGGGCAACCCUGGUGGCGAGUGGCGAACGGGUGAGUAAUACAUCGGAACGUGUCCUAUUGUGGGGGAUAACCAGUCGAAAGAUUGGCUAAUACCGCAUGAGCUGGAGACGAGGAAAGCGGGGGACCCGCAAGGGCCUCGCGCGAGUUGGAGCGGCCGAUGUCCGAUUAGCUAGUAGGAGGGUAAAGGCCUACCUAGGCGACGAUCGGUAGCUGGUCUGAGAGGAUGAUCAGCCACACUGGGACUGAGACACGGCCCAGACUCCUACGGGAGGCAGCAGUGGGAAUUUUGGACAAUGGGGGCAACCCUGAUCCAGCCAUGCCGCGUGAGUGAAGAAGGCCU
This 389-nucleotide ribosomal RNA is filed under the name uncultured bacterium. RNAcentral describes it as "bacterial SSU rRNA". It matches the Rfam family "Bacterial small subunit ribosomal RNA", at positions 29 to 417 of the family's 1533-position model. The record is from RNAcentral.